AGCUAAUAGAUACCCGGGUAGUCCCAGCUGUAAACGAUGCAGACUCGGUGAUGGGAUGGCCUCGAGCUUUCCCAGUGCCGCAGGGAAGCCGUUAAGUCUGCCGCCUGGGGAGUACAGUCGCAAGACUGAAACUUAAAGGAAUUGGCGGGGGAGCACCACAAGGGGUGAAAGCCUGCGGUUCAAUUGGAGUCAACGCCGGGAAUCUUACCGGGGGAGACAGCAGAGUGAAGGUCAAGCUGAAGACUUUACCAGACAAGCUGAGAGGAGGUGCAUGGCCGUCGCCAGCUCGUGCCGUGAGGUGUCCUGUUAAGUCAGGUAACGAGCGAGAUCCCUGCCUCUAGUUGCUACCUUUACUCUCAGGAGUCGAGGGGCUAAUUAGAGGGACCGCCGCCGCUGAGGCGGAGGAAGGAGGGGGCUACGACAGGUCAGUAUGCCCCGGAAACCUUCGGGCCACACGCGGGCUGCAAUGGUAAGGACAAUGGGUGUCGAUUCCGAAAGGAGGAGGCAAUCCCUAAACCUUACCCCAGUUAUGAUUGAGGGCUGAAACUC
Molecule: ribosomal RNA, 549 nt
Filed under: uncultured bacterium
Lineage: Bacteria
Description: bacterial SSU rRNA
Rfam family: Archaeal small subunit ribosomal RNA
Source: RNAcentral